This is a long non-coding RNA of Pristis pectinata (smalltooth sawfish), 2781 nucleotides long. RefSeq lists it as uncharacterized. Lineage: Eukaryota; Metazoa; Chordata; Chondrichthyes; Rhinopristiformes; Pristidae. The transcript is spliced from 3 exons. The record is from RefSeq and is a predicted model, not a curated record.
AUGGUUGGAGUAGAGCAGUGUUAGAGUGGAGCACUUGAGGCUUUCUGAGAAGAGAUGGAGGCUAAGGGCAAAUCUGCUGCCAAGAUUUGCAGCAGAAUGGCCAACUGAUACACCCAAGACUUGGCGAUAGUGCAGCCUUCUGAUCAGCAGGAAAAUGUGCUCUGAGUACACUGAAAUCAAUGAGUUAAAUUAGCUGCCAGAAGAAAGUGCUGGACACACACAGGUUUUGACAGGCUGGCCUGAGAGCCUAUAUGGAAUUUCAAGCAUCCGUGGGGAAUCAGGUUCAAACCAUACACAAGUCUUUGAGCAGCUAUUGAAGUCCAUCCUUUCCAGCAUGGAAACAGUGGCCAACAUCCCAUCAGAACUUGUGGAGUUGACCAUUGCGUACCUGAUGACUGAUGUCUUAGCUUACAACGUAGCACAUGCAAAAGCCACUUAACAUCUUGGCACUGAAAUAAAAGCUUUGCCUACUGCCUUUCAAGUUAGGUUUGAUGACUACAUGGAUAUGGACAUAAUUCUUCAAAGGAACCUUGUGGAUGUUCAAGACAGAGACUGAUGUUUAGGUAUUAAAGAAAUCGAGGGAUGAAGUUAGUUCAGAAAUUAAAAGUCAGUCACAAUCUUAUGGAAUGGCAGGUUCAAGGGGCCAAAUGACCUAAUCCUGCUUCUAAUUCUUAUCUUUUUAUGUCACAGAAGUUAAUAAUAUGUGCUCCCACAGAUAACAAGAAUAAACUGAAUUUCCAACAAAUGGGAAUAGCUGCAAUUCUGUGGAACGCAAAUCAACUGUCUUAUCUAAGGACAUCAGCCUUUGAUUCCAUCUGUUCCACUGGACUACUGCUGUUCAUGGGAAGAUGACACAAUCCAAAGACAGGACAGCUGGACUAAGAGGUGCUUGACAUUGUUCUUCAUGGCUAUCUGCUAUCCACCAAGUGCUAGAAGUUGAGGAUAUCAGGUGUGAUUGAAGAAGCCUUACAACGUUGCUGACAUCCAUUCUGUAAAUACUACACACUGCAGCAUUGGUAUCAGUGGUGGAGAUCAGUGAAUAUUCAGGACUAUUGGCAGGGGUCCCAAUCACGCCGACUGCUAUUUCCUAAAUGAAAAUAAGUGUGGUUGGAGCCGCCCAGUGGAAAACAGUGUCAUUUGUCAUACAUCAUGGAAACAGGCAUUUAGUGCCCACCAAAUCUGCACUAUCAAGUGCCCAUUUACAUUUAAUCCUAUUUUAUUAUUCUCCUCAUAUUCCCAUCAACUCCCACCAGAUUCAAUCACCGACUACCACAAUAGGUGCAAUUUUCAGUGGCCAAUUAAUAUACCAACUUGUACAUCUUUGGAAGGAAACAGGAGCACCCAGAGGCAACCCAAGUGGUCACAGGAAGAAAGUUCAAACCCACAGACAGGCGCCUGAGGUCAGGAUCAAAUCUGGGUCGCUGGAGCUGUGAGGUAGCAGCUUUAUUAACUGUGCUACUGUGCUGCCCAAUACUGUUUUCUAAUUCUACGUGCUUGUAAACUAUUAAAAAUCUUUGUAAAGUCGGGUCCCCGGCUACAACAAAACAAGCUUCCAGCAAGAUUGUGUGGCCAUAAUAUCAAAGUGGCUUUUUGGUCAAUGGUAACUCUUAUGACGUUUUUGGUGAAGGAUUCAUUAUUGAAUGUCAAGGGGAAGUGGUAAAAAUUUCUCUCACUGGAGAUGAUCACUGCCUGACACUUCAGUGCACAAAUGUUAUAUGUCAUUUACCAGACCAUGCUGAAUGUUGUCUAGGUCUUGCUGCAAAUGGGCAUGGACUGCUUAAACAUAAGCAUUUGUAAUUGAGGAACUGAACACUGUGCAAUCAUUUGCUAUUAUUUCCACAUCUGACCUAAUGGUGGAAGAAAAAUCAGUGAUAAAGCAGAUUUAGAUUUCAGAAUCUAGGCCACUGGCCUGAGGACCUCCUGCAAUAGUGUCCUGUCACUGAGAUUACUGUGCUCCUAAAAACGCAACCACUUUUGUUUUGUGGAGUGCCUGCAUUCAGGCUGCAGGAGUGAUCCUGAACUUCUGAUGCCUACCACUUUAGUUCAUCCUGCUCCCACUUUGAUUUUUCUGUCUGUGGCCUCCUGUUCUGUUAUAACAAGGACCAGUGCAAGCUUGAGGAACACUACCUCUUCUGUCCAGCAGGUUUCAGCCUUCAGGACUCCAUAUUGAACUUUAAGUAAUGCAUUCUAUCUUUUUCUUUCUCUCUGUUUUACAACUGGACAUUUCUGCCUAUCAUCAUUUCUACUCAGUGUUUCCUUUUAUUUUAAUAUAGUUUAGCUGCUGGGUACAUACCACAAGCUUGCCAAUAGCAACAUGUUACACAGGUAAAGAAACACAAUCUCAUCUUAACUGCUGCAUUAAGUCAUCUGGUCUGACCCCAUCAGGAUACUCCCAUUGUUCUACUCAUCCUUCCCCCAUCUUCCCUGUUACCUUGUUUUCUCUCAGUUCUGAUGAAGGGCCCUGGACCAGAAACAUUAACUGUUUCUCUUUCCUCAGAUGCUGCCUGACCUGCUGAGUGAUUCCAAUAUUUUGUUUUUAUUUCAGAUUUCCAUCAUCUGCAGUCUUUUUGAUUUUUUCACCACCUUCCUUUUUUUAACUUUAUCCAGUUUUCCCUAUCAUUUCUGUGAACUUCAAUUUUACCAAGGACCUACACUGAGCCAUAUGCAAGUUAAUUUCACCAUAUCGAUGGAGAAAAGAACUGAAUUCCAUGUUUGGAUUAAAGGCGGUAAUGAGAUAUGCAACUGAAUGGUCCUGGCAAAAUGAGAUAUUCUUUCCUUAAC